CACACACUCUGCUGUGUGCAGGCGCUGUGUGUGUGAAGGUGCUGUGUGUAAGGGUGCUGUUAGUGUGUGGUGUGUGUGUAUGUGUAAGGGUGCUGUUAGUGUGUGCUUUGUGUGUGUGUGAGGGUGCUGUGUGUAUGUGUAUGUGUGAGGGUGCUGUGUGUAAGGGUGUUAGUGUGAGGGUGCUGUUAGUGUGUGUGUGUAAGGGUGUUGUUAGUGUGUGCUGUGUGUGUAUAAGGGUGCUGUUAGUGUGUGCUGUGUGUGUGUAUGUGUGAGGGUGCUGUGUGUGUAAGGGUGCUGUUAGUGUGUGUGUGUAAGGGUGAUGUAUGUGUGUGUGCUGUUAGUGUGUAAUGUGUGGGGGCCGUUUAGUUAAUAUCCCCCCUCCCUUCUUACCUUCUAUAGGGAGGGGGGACCGUGCUGCUGCCAUCCCUCGUGGUCCAGUGGAGAGUGAACUCUAGCCCCAUUUGGGGCUAGAGUUCACUCUCGCGAGAUCUGAGCGUUGCCACGGUAACCGGCGGUAACGCUCCGACCGCACGAGAGGAACCCAGCGGAGCUGCUGGCAAGAGCUCCCCGGGUCCUCUCCUGCCUCCCUCCCUGCCUGUGGGUUGGUGAGGGAGAUAUUUGAUCUCCCUCACCUGCCCACGGAGGGAGGCACAUAGCACGUGACGCGGGGUCUAGGGUGUGCCCAGGCACACCCCAUGCGCAUGUCUAUGAUGCACCACUUAAAUCUCAAGGAUGGACGGUGUUUUCAUUGUCAAUAUAAGAAACUAAAUAGGUUCUUCCACGUGUGAGUUUUGUUUUGUUUGUCUUUUAAAUUUCAUGAUUUAGACCAGGGGUUCCCAACCCAGUCCUCAAGUACCCCCUACUAGUCCAGGAUUUAGGAAUCACCCUGUAGUGUCUAAAGUGUUUUUGUUUUUCCCUAAAAUGUAGUAAUCCUUAAAUCCUGGACUGUUAUGGGGUACUUGAGGACAGGGUUGGGAACCACUGAUUUAGACCAAUGAUGUGUACCUCAUUCAAAAACUGAUAGAGGGCCAAAGGUCAGACGGUUUGCUCUUUUUGGACAGAUAAAUGGGGAAAAAAGAGUUCUAGAAAGCCUGGCCUAGGAGCACACACAUUAGAACAAUAAUUGCCAUUUUUUACCAACAGAUUAUUUGGAACCUCACACAUCUGGAAUCAAAUAAAUGCCAUUAGUGUGUGUACUUGGUAUUCACUUGUAAACGACAAUUUUAAAAUGUUCAACAUCAUAUCGAUUUAAGCCUGCUCUCCAAUCAAUAUUGCAUGAAAUUGCAUGUUAUAAUGGCUUUAAUCAUUGCAUCACUUCCAUAGAGCAUGUGGUAGUAGUUGUGUACUCCUAACAUGUUCAGGUGCGCUCUAAGUCCAUUGAUGAGAUUUCGAAUGGUACUGCACUCUUAAAUGAAUACAGCACCACUCAAAGCGUUGCACAGCAUUUGUUCUUUUUGAGACAUUUACAGUGCCUCUUUUAUCAUGGAAAAUAUAACACAAACCUGUUUAGGAAAUAAAGAGGUAAACCAAUCCCACAGGCUAACCAUUGUGUUAAAAUAUUAUUUAAUCCUUUGUUUAAAUCAGGAUCUGAUUUUUUUUAAAAUAGUAUCUGCAAUUAAUAAGAUCACACAUACUUCCGGAUCAGUCUUCAAAAUAACAGAGCUCUAGAUAAAUAAUUUGGCAAUAAAAGGCCAGAACCCCUAAUCAGUGUGAAUAUUCUUAUAUCACAUGACCAGAUCUUCAAUUAAAAUGAUUUCACAUAAUUAAGUAGGUUGCAGAUAACAACCAGCCCCUUCAUAAGCCAAACUAUCCAUGCACACAUGUAAUGUACCUGCAAAGUAGGCAGUGGGAGAGUGUCACCAUUUAACCCCUUAAAGGACCACUAUAGUGCCAGGAAAACACUUGUUUUCCUGGCACUAUAGUGCCCUGAGGCAGUGGCGGAUCCAGAGCCUGAUCUCGGGAGGGGCACUUGUAGAUUAUUUAAAGAAAUAAUCCAGACACAAUAACCACUACAGCUCAGUGUAGUGGUUAUGGUGUCAAUAGUGCCGGGACCCCCUCCCACAGUAAGUAGUCAAACCGUUUAAGAACAGUUUGUCAACUUACCUGCUGGGAGAUCUGCUGGGAAAUGGGGCUGUAGUAGGGCUUAGGAGCAGUGGUGUGUGUGAGUGGUGCAAUGUGUCAGGG
RNAcentral lists this long non-coding RNA (2184 nucleotides) under Pelobates cultripes (western spadefoot toad). Lineage: Eukaryota; Metazoa; Chordata; Amphibia; Anura; Pelobatidae. The record is from RNAcentral.